RNAcentral lists this ribosomal RNA (93 nucleotides) under Arthrobacter oryzae. The record is from RNAcentral. Lineage: Bacteria; Bacillati; Actinomycetota; Actinomycetes; Micrococcales; Micrococcaceae.
ACGCCCGGUCCCAUUCCGAACCCGGAAGCUAAGACCCACAGCGCCGAUGGUACUGCACCCGGGAGGGUGUGGGAGAGUAGGUCACCGCCGGAA